GUGAGGAAUAUUGGUCAAUGGGCGGAAGCCUGAACCAGCCAUCCCGCGUGGAGGAAGACGGCCCUAUGGGUUGUAAACUUCUUUUCAAGGGGAAGAAAGUUCGCGACGUGUCGCGAUUUGCCGGUACCUUUGGAAUAAGCAUCGGCUAACUCCGUGCCAGCAGCCGCGGUAAUACGGAGGAUGCGAGCGUUAUCCGGAUUUAUUGGGUUUAAAGGGUGCGUAGGCCGAUCGAUAAGUCAGCGGUGAAAUACCAUGGCCCAACCAUGGAACUGCCGUUGAUACUGUCGGUCUUGAAUAUGGUCAAGGUAGGCGGAAUGUGUAAUGUAGCGGUGAAAUGCUUAGAUAUUACACAGAACACCGAUUGCGAAGGCAGCUUACUGGUCCAUUAUUGACGCUGAGGCACGAAAGCGUGGGGAGCAAACAGGAUUAGAAACCCGAGUAGUCC
This 445-nucleotide ribosomal RNA is filed under the name uncultured bacterium. Its description in RNAcentral is "partial 16S ribosomal RNA". It matches the Rfam family "Bacterial small subunit ribosomal RNA", at positions 354 to 796 of the family's 1533-position model. The record is from RNAcentral.